This 605-nucleotide ribosomal RNA is filed under the name uncultured archaeon. RNAcentral describes it as "bacterial SSU rRNA". It matches the Rfam family "Archaeal small subunit ribosomal RNA", at positions 53 to 662 of the family's 1478-position model. The record is from RNAcentral.
GCGAGUCGAAUGUAGCAUACAUGGCGUACUGCUCAGUAACACGUGGACAACCUACCCUGAGGUCGGGGAUAAACCCGGGAAACUGGGUAUAAUACCCGAUAGAUCUAAGCAGCUGGAAUGCUUUUAGAUCUAAAGUUCCGACGCCUCAGGAUGGGUCUGCGGCCUAUCAGGGUAGUAGUAGGUGUAACGUACCUACUAGCCUACGACGGGUACGGGUUGUGAGAGCAAGAGCCCGGAGAUGGAUUCUGAGACACGAAUCCAGGCCCUACGGGGUGCAGCAGGCGCGAAACCUUUACAAUGCUGGCAACAGCGAUAAGGGGACCUCGAGUGCCACGAUACAAUCGUGGCUGUCUAGUUGCCUAAAAAGCAAUUGAUAGCAAGGGCCGGGCAAGACCGGUGCCAGCCGCCGCGGUAACACCGGCGGCUCGAGUGGUAACCGCUAUUAUUUGGUCUAAAGGGUCUGUAGCCGGCUUAGUCAGUCUCUUGAGAAAUCUGGCCGCUCAACGGUCAGGCGUUCAGGGGAUACUGCUAAAGCUCGAGACCGGGAGAGGUGAGAGGUACUUCAGGGGUAGGGGUGAAAUCUUGUAAUCCUUGAAGGACCACCA